AUCCUGUAAAACAACCAUGCCAAGUAGAAGGGUCAUGACUGGGGCAAGAUGUUCUUUUCCUUUUUCUAUAGAAACCUUUAAGAACACGGAACUACCUAAUGGGGCAUUGUUUCUGUAACUAGGGUAACGGGGCUCUGUUUCUGUAACUGGGGUGACUGGGCUAACUGUGAUUGGUUAGGCUUCCUACCACUUGACCCCACUCUCCCGCUUCGGUAACCUGGCUUGCCUUGCAUUGGCUAGACCCCAAACAUCCCUUUUGCGGUUUUCAGGCUUAUAAAGAGAGCCCUUGAAAUUGUUCGGGGCUGAUCAGGGGAACAGCUUUAUGUUCUGGUCAGCCGCCACCAGUGUGUUUCAAUAAAGGCUUGAUUUGAUUAUUUGUGAGUGAUCUGGAAGUCAGUUUAUGAAACCCCGGGAUGAAGCUUUAACUGUGACACCUUUCCUCUCAGCAUGCACUGGGGACAUCUUCCUGAUUUUAAAAUAGGCAGAAUUUGCAGCUAUUGCACAAGGUUGCUGAAAAACCUUUUGCAAUAUUAAAUCAUUCCCAUUAUUCCUGAAUCUGUGGCCAGGCCCAGGGCACAACCAUCAGCAUGAAUCAGUUACCUGGCGUUGGCCACCAAAGGUUAAAUGCUAUCCUCUUAAAUUUCUUCAGUUAUACAAACCUUUUGGACAAGAUUUAAAUAUUUAAUUAACUGAAUUCCCAAGGCUUUAUGUAUAUACUUUGACUUUAAUGCUUAGGGAUUUAGGCCAACAUCUCUGGGCUCCUAUUUUGGUUCAUGGGCAGAGGGGUGAGCAGAGGGAGUCCCAGCUCCCCAAGGCCUGACUCUGAGUAACCCCAGUGCCUCCCUUGAAGGAACGAGGCUCCCCGCUGUCCCCACUGUUGCUCAGGCUGCCCUUCGGGGGUCUCACUCUCCACCCAAGAGGUCGUGUAGACAGUUCUCCAAGUGUACCCCAUGCCCACCCUGGCUCAGUUCAAUUCGCCCCUUCUCCUUACAUCCUUGGGAUUCUUAAGGGUCUCUGCAGUCUUCUUGGUCAGCCCUUCCUAACCUAUCUCUCCAUCCGGCCUUGGCUCAGUGUCAAAAGUUCACGGGGAAAUAAAGAGAGAGAAAAAAACCCUCAGGGAAGUCCAGGCUGGUGGUGAAGCAUCCCCUGGGCAUUACCAUUUGCUAGCUGUGUGACCUUGGGCAAGUUUCUUAACUGCUCUGGGCCUGAAUAUCUCUACCUGUAAAAUGGAGACAAUAUUAAGCUGACUUCAUUCAGUUGUCCUAAAGAUUUAAAGAGUUCAUAUUUGCAAAAUGCUUGUUACAUGAAACAAACUUCCUUCUCAGUUCCACUGAUCGAACAGCCGUCACCUUGACUUUGAUGCCAAGCUGGGGUGGCGGGGGGGGAGAAAGCCAGGCGCCUGCUCUGCUGGUGCAAGACAGUGACUGCAGCUUAUGGUCUCUUUUUAAAGGUACCGAGAGGCACGAGCACCUAAUGCAGGUUGUUUCCCCAUUGUACAGGCAGCUCAGAAAGGCGCAAUGACCUGGUGACAGGCCACACGGCAGGUGAGCCGCAGGUAACCUGGGAAAUGCACCCUCUGAAAAAGCCACUUCCUGCCUUUCUCCGUCAAGGCCUCUGCUGAACUUGAGUCUGAGGUCCAACCGGCCCCGCCUUCCACGUGGACCACCACAGGGGAUGACUCAGCCUCCUCGUGUGAAAGGCCAGAGUCGCUUGCAAGGCCAUCGAGUGUGAGCGUGUCCCACCGCACAGUACCAGGACGGUGGCGCCUGCAGAGUUGCAGCGUGGUCAUCUGCGGGGGCCAUUGUUGGGUUGGACAGGACACAAGGCAGCUGAAGGUAGGUCACCCAUUCCCCGUGUUCAUCUUCCUAUUAGGAAAACUAGCCCCUCUGUGGCUGGCAGGCCGGGGAGGGCCCCGUCUCCACUUCACAGAGAGAAACUGAGGCCCAGAGAGCGAGAAGGAGCCCCCGCCCAACGCCCAGGGCUGGGCCCCGUCAGGACGUCAGACUGCUCCUCGGCCAGCCCCUCCCUUCUGGCUCUCUUUCCCUCACUUUCCCAGAAUCUGGUCGCUGGUCACUGUGGCUGGACAGGGCUAUGGGCACAGAUCUUGCAGGGCCACCUGGGCUUUCCCCUGGCGUCAGCUCAGCCGGGGAGUCCACCCUGGGUACUUCCUGACACAGGUACUUCCUGGGUACACCUGUUGUGCAACAGGAGAUUGGGACCUGGGGGACUGCUGGUCCAGGAAGUCCUUCCCAGCCUGCCCCCCUGUCCCUGCCAGGAAUGAACUGGCCUCGCCCCAAUAUCCUCACUGGCCAGGUCACAGGGCCUGCGGAUCGGAGACCAGUCUGAUUGUAGUGCCACAGCUUUUACACAGCCCCUUCGUCUUUCCCAUCUGUCCCUCUCGCUGGUCUGCUCUCCGGGACGCUGACUGGGGUGCACCCCUGGGUCCUGCCCCACCCCCCAGCCGGGUGCCACCCGGACAGCUGUGCUCCAGAGUCCCAACACGGCUCACCCCCGAUGUGGCAGCCCCACGCCCUGCUCUUCUGUGCAAACCAUGGCUGGUCUUGCUGCCCCUCUGGGCCUCAGACCCCUAGCCUGCCCCGGGCCCAUGGGAAGCCCCUUGCUAUUUCCAGCGUGCAGACGAGGCUCGUCCCCUCCAGCUGAGUCCUCAGACUUUGAGCCACUCAGACGCACUAUCGGAUUGCUCCAGAGCCCAGUGUCCCCAUACGACUCGACAUGGAGAAGGUGCCCAGUGGCUUGUCAAGGAAAUGAAGAGGAGAGGUCCUUCAGCAGGUCGGGCUGCUUUCCAGGGGCUGCCCUCUGUGGCUAGAGAGCAAGGCCCCUCUCCUGCCCUCCUGCAGCUGCCUGUGGGGGAACACCCAGGGAAGCACACUGAGACCCCAGGCCACCAUCUGAAGGCACAAGGGUACGGAGGUCUCAGGAAUGGGUGAGGAAAUGGGCCAUUCCAGCCCAAUUUUGUUUCUGAUUAUCUGUCCAAGAAACGAAAAGAACAUUCUCUCCAUUCUCAAGACCUUUUUAUUGUUGUUGCUUUGGUUGUUUGUUUGUUGGGUUGUUUGUUUUCUGGUUUUUUUUGUGCACCAGGGGUUGAACUCAGGGGCACAUGACCACCGAGCCCCAUGCCCAGCUCUAAUUUGUGUUUUAUUUAGAGACAGGGUCUCGCUGAAUCACUUAGUGCCUCACUUUUGCUGAGACUGGCUUUGGACUCGGGAUCCUCUUGCCUCAGCCUCCCGAGCCACAGGGACGACAGGGGUGCACCACUCGGAAACCAUCUUUCAACCUCAGGAGAUAGCACAGUGCCACUGUCCUGGGGACUUCGGUGUGCACCAGAACUUCCGAAGGGGUUUGGCACAGCGCAGGCCAUGGGGCCUCAGGGUUUGUGAUUUCCCAGUUUUGGGGCCAGGCUGAGAAUUCCUGGCUUAAACGAGCUCUGGGUGUGGCUUCUGGUCAAUGCACCUCACAGAGCAGCCAGUGGUGCUGGGUCUAGGCCCUGGCUCUGCCUUCGCCUUCCCCUGUGACCCAGGCUCUGCUCUGGGCUUGGGUCACCCUCUAUGCAAUAGGGUGGAGUGUGCCCUGGAUGUGGCAGUCUCGGUGCCUUCCAGACCAGGCAUCCCAGCCCUGUAGUACAGCUCCUGGGCCUGGGCAGGGCACCCCUGGGGCUGCUGUCUGGGGCAGGUGGCAGAGCGGGAGCUCGAGGAGGCUGAGCAGUGGGACAGCCGAGGCGGGUUUGAAAACCUCCGGUCCCCAGUAUGAAGCCAACUGCUCGAGACCUGUUCCUUCUCUUAGGUAGAAAAGGUUGGAAAGUUCAGAUGCAUCAACUUCCCAGGGAAGGAGGAGAGAGUUAAGAAAGAAAGAAAUCAGAACCCAAGAGUCAGGAGACGUGGAUUUCCGACAGUCAACCCAGACAAGUUUAAAUGCCUUCACUCCUGCACCUCUUCCAAGGUGGCUGCUUUGUGACUUCUCCCAAGAAACUCCAGGGGACUCAGCCCAGACGUCCAUCAGCUGGCCCACAGAGGCGCACGUCUGUGCUCGCCUACGGUUUGGAUUAGCUUGACGUGACCAUCUACACUCAGCACCACCAUGAUGGCUCCCCAGUACCCCUUGGGGUUUUGCCUACGGAGCUUCAAGCACACUACAAACAGACAACCACUGGACAGGUGUGUGGGGGGGGUCAGGGUGGUCCCUGUGCCGGGACUGUGCCUGACCCUUUGAUGUAAGCUCAGGGUAAACCAGGUACAAGCCAGUGAAGAUGAAGUCACCCCUCCAGCUGACCUAAACUACAGGCACCCUCUUGGUCUCACUGCUGCCCAGGACAAUGCUUCUGUGAGUAACCCCAGGUGAACUGUGCUGGGGGGCGGCUCCCAUCCGUCUUCCUCUUUCCUGAUGCUCAUUGUACCUCGGGUGCCAGGUGCAUUCCCUGAGGCUGGAUUGUUCUGGAAUAACACAAUGGCAUCUUGUAGGGAAAAGGAGUGAAGUACCCAUAUAUGAUACGGCAUGGAUGACCUUAAAAGCAUCACGCUGACAGAACAUGUCACCAAAGGGUACAUAUUGUAGGAUUCCGUCCAAACGAAAUAUCCAGCAUAAAUGAAGCAACAGAGGCAGAAAGUUAGGUGGUGGUUUUGUAGGUUCUGGGGAGGCAGCGAUGGGAGUGGUUGCUAAAGAGAUGUCGGGUUUCCUUCAGGGGGGUGAGAGUGUAUGGAACUAGGUGGGGGACAGAACACUGAGAAUGUACCAACUGUCAUUCAUUCCUGGCCAACUCUAUCUUAUAUAUAUUUUGCCUCAAAAAUAACAAUUGCUCAUGGUAACCUGGGUGUAUGUCCUCCCUGUGCAUCAUGGCUGGAUUGUAUUCCCCAGGAAAUCUGCUGAAGUCCUGACCCCCAUCAGUACCUGGGAAUGUGACCUUAUUUGGAGGGAGGGUCUGAAGGGUAUGGAAAUUGAUAACCCUCAGGACAGGGAAAUGACAAACCUCCAAAACUGUCUGACCUGGAGGACGAGGGAGGAGGAAGGCAUCCUGAAUCCUUCCCAGGACACCCUUUCUCAGUGACAAGGGGUCCCCAGGUUUCACCCCUUCCCAGGUUCAUCCCCAGCAUGGCCACCAAAGCACACACUCAUCCCUCCCCCACAACCGGUCCUGAAGGCUGGGCCCUGUCCCAUUGCCAAUGAGUCCUGGUCAUUAGGGUGUGGCCAAGUCAUAUGCCUGGUGUCCUUCUGAAAAAUGUGAACACAGAGAAACAGGGAGAAUGCCCCCUGACCCCUGACCUUUGAGGAAGAGACUGGAAGCCAAGGAAUGGCCGGGGCUACCAAAUGCUGGAGGUGAGGCCUGGGCACUAACUCUGGGUGGUCUGCCUAGCAGGGGCACUGGCCGGGGUUGGACCCCCAUACUGCAAGUACUGAUACG
This is a long non-coding RNA of Marmota monax (woodchuck), 5413 nucleotides long. RefSeq lists it as uncharacterized. The transcript has 3 exons. NCBI's taxonomy places the organism in Eukaryota, Metazoa, Chordata, Mammalia, Rodentia, Sciuridae. The record is from RefSeq and is a predicted model, not a curated record.